Molecule: ribosomal RNA, 399 nt
Filed under: uncultured bacterium
Lineage: Bacteria
Description: bacterial SSU rRNA
Rfam family: Bacterial small subunit ribosomal RNA
Source: RNAcentral
GAAUAUUGCACAAUGGAGGAAACUCUGAUGCAGCGACGCCGCGUGAACGAUGAAGGCUUUCGAGUCGUAAGGUUCUGUCCUUGGGGAAGAUAAUGACGGUACCCGAGGAGGAAGCCCCGGCUAACUACGUGCCAGCACCCGCGGUAAUACGUAGGGGGCGAGCGGUGUCCGGAUUUAUUGGGCGUAAAGGGUUCGCAGGCGGCCUUUUAAGUCAGAUGUGAAAGAUCACGGCUCAACCGUGGUAAGCAUUUGAAACUGGAAGGCUUGAGUUAAGGAGAGGAAAGUGGAAUUCCUAGUGUAGCGGUGAAAUGCGUAGAUAUUAGGAGGAAUACCAGUGGCGAAGGCGACUUUCUGGACUUAUACUGACGCUGAGGAACGAAAGCGUGGGGAGCAAACAGG